RNAcentral lists this ribosomal RNA (378 nucleotides) under uncultured eukaryote. Its description in RNAcentral is "partial 18S ribosomal RNA". It matches the Rfam family "Eukaryotic small subunit ribosomal RNA", at positions 592 to 976 of the family's 1831-position model. The record is from RNAcentral.
CAAUAGCGUAUAUUUAAGUUGUUGCAGUUAAAAAGCUCGUAGUUGGAUUUCGGGUGGGACGCAGCGGUCUCGCAUUGCGUUUGUACUGCUGCAGCCCUCCUUCUUGCCGGGGGCGGCCUCUCGGACUUCACUGUCUGGGGGUCAGAAUCGGCGAUGUUACUUUGAGUAAAUUAGAGUGUUCAAAGCAAGCUUACGCUCUGAAUAUAAUAGCAUGGGAUAACACGACAGGACUCUGGCCUAUCGUGUUGGUCUAUAGGACCAGAGUAAUGAUUAAGAGGGACAGUCGGGGGCAUUCGUAUUCCGUUGUCAGAGGUGAAAUUCUUGGAUUUACGGAAGACGAACAUCUGCGAAAGCAUUUGCCAAGGAUGUUNUCAUUUA